Molecule: ribosomal RNA, 474 nt
Filed under: Candida albicans
Lineage: Eukaryota; Fungi; Ascomycota; Pichiomycetes; Serinales; Debaryomycetaceae
Description: LSU rRNA
Rfam family: Eukaryotic large subunit ribosomal RNA
Source: RNAcentral
UCUGGCGUCUUUGGCGUCCGAGUUGUAAUUUGAAGAAGGUAUCUUUGGGCCCGGCUCUUGUCUAUGUUCCUUGGAACAGGACGUCACAGAGGGUGAGAAUCCCGUGCGAUGAGAUGACCCGGGUCUGUGUAAAGUUCCUUCGACGAGUCGAGUUGUUUGGGAAUGCAGCUCUAAGUGGGUGGUAAAUUCCAUCUAAAGCUAAAUAUUGGCGAGAGACCGAUAGCGAACAAGUACAGUGAUGGAAAGAUGAAAAGAACUUUGAAAAGAGAGUGAAAAAGUACGUGAAAUUGUUGAAAGGGAAGGGCUUGAGAUCAGACUUGGUAUUUUGCAUGCUGCUCUCUCGGGGGCGGCCGCUGCGGUUUACCGGGCCAGCAUCGGUUUGGAGCGGCAGGAUAAUGGCGGAGGAAUGUGGCACGGCUUCUGCUGUGUGUUAUAGCCUCUGACGAUACUGCCAGCCUAGACCGAGGACUGCGG